Molecule: ribosomal RNA, 253 nt
Filed under: uncultured prokaryote
Description: partial 16S ribosomal RNA
Rfam family: Bacterial small subunit ribosomal RNA
Source: RNAcentral
ACGUAGGGGGCGAGCGUUGUCCGGAUUUACUGGGCGUAAAGCGCGUGUAGGCGGUACUCUAAGUCCGGGGUGAAAUCCGGGGGCUUAACCCCCGAACGGCGCCGGAAACUGGAGCGCUUGAGUGUCGGAGAGGGGAGUGGAAUUCUCGGUGUAGCGGUGAAAUGCGUAGAGAUCGAGAGGAACACCCGUGGCGAAGGCGGCUCCCUGGCCGAACACUGACGCUGAGACGCGAAAGCGUGGGGAGCGAACGGGA